GGCAUUUGACAAGGGAAGAGGACCAGUGCUGACCAAGUGAAGAAAAAGAAGAGUCUAUUGCCAAGCUUUGUACAGCAGCCAAUAUCUGAUUAAGGAGUGGGCAGACGGUUAUGCUGGCAUUGAUCCUGUUUCCAAAAGCAGAUCAACAUGAUUCCUCAAGACUCCAAAGAGAUCAACUAUGGGACCUGAAAAUAAAGGCAGACUGCCAUCAAUUUCAUGUUUCUUUGAUAGCAGACAAAUAUGCUUCAACAAUAGUGCAGAGAGUAAUUUAAGGUUUGGACUGCAAGUGAUGGACACACUAAAUAACUCAACUCAAAGAAUUCAAUGGAUAGUGCUGAGUACAUUAUUAUAUAUCUACAAAGUGAUGGGCACACUAAAUAGCUUAACUGACAGAAUUCAAUGGACCGUGCUGAGUACAUUGUUAUCUACAAAGUGAUGGACACACUAAAUAGCUUAACUCACAGAAUCCAAUGGACAGAGUUGUGUAUGUACUAAUAUCUACAAAGUGAUGGACACAGUAAACAGUUUAAUUCCCAGGAUUCAGUGUACCAUGCUGAGUACAUAACUCAUUAAGGAUAACUCAUAUGACAUCCACAGCAGAUCACUCAAAGUUGUGUUACUACAUUAUUGUACAACUUUUCAUAUACUACAUUAUUUUUUCUGAAUGUUUUUUUUUUGUAUCUGUAUAUUAUAUUUUUUAAUUUAAAAAAGUUAAAGAUUGGAUUUUUAAGCAAAAAUAUCAAGAGAGGUAAAUCAGUGCUUGUCUGAAUAUCUAAGCUGAAGAGAAAGGGAGGUAAUUUUUUUUAUUGUGAAUCCUUGUCCAGAGCAUAUGCUUUCUCCCCUUGGUCCAAUGUGGCUAAUACUCCUCUCACAGAGUGCC
Molecule: long non-coding RNA, 880 nt
Organism: Saccostrea cuccullata (small rock oyster)
Lineage: Eukaryota; Metazoa; Mollusca; Bivalvia; Ostreida; Ostreidae
Exons: 3
Source: RefSeq, a predicted model, not a curated record